This 385-nucleotide ribosomal RNA is filed under the name uncultured bacterium. RNAcentral's name for it is "bacterial SSU rRNA". It matches the Rfam family "Bacterial small subunit ribosomal RNA", at positions 29 to 414 of the family's 1533-position model. The record is from RNAcentral.
AUUGAACGCUGGCGGCAUGCCUUACACAUGCAAGUCGAACGGCAGCACGGGAGCAAUCCUGGUGGCGAGUGGCGAACGGGUGAGUAAUAUAUCGGAACGUGCCCAGUCGUGGGGAUAACGUAGCGAAAGCUACGCUAAUACCGCAUACGAUCUACGGAUGAAAGCGGGGGAUCGCAAGACCUCGCGCGAUUGGAGCGGCCGAUAUCAGAUUAGGUAGUUGGUGAGGUAAAGGCGUCACCAAGCCGACGAUCUGUAGCUGGUCUGAGAGGACGACCAGCCACACUGGGACUGAGACACGGCCCAGGACUCCUACGGGAGGCAGCAGUGGGGAAUUUUGGACAAUGGGCGCAAGCCUGAUCCAGCAAUGCCGCGUGCAGGAUGAAGG